CGACCGGCGCACGGGUCGCGUAACGCGUAUAGAACCUACCUUAUAGUAAGGGAUAGCCCAGAGAAAUUUGGAUUAAUACCUUAUAGUAUGAUAAGAUGGCAUCAUUUAAUCAUUAAAGAUUUAUUGCUAUAAGAUGGCUAUGCGUUCUAUUAGCUAGUUGGUAUGGUAACGGCAUACCAAGGCAACGAUAGAUAGGGGUCCUGAGAGGGAGAUCCCCCACACUGGUACUGAGACACGGACCAGACUCCUACGGGAGGCAGCAGUGAGGAAUAUUGGACAAUGGAGGCAACUCUGAUCCAGCCAUGCCGCGUGUAGGAAGACUGCCCUAUGGGUUGUAAACUACUUUUAUAGAGGAAGAAACAGUUCCACGUGUGGAACUCUGACGGUACUCUACGAAUAAGGAUCGGCUAACUCCGUGCCAGCAGCCGCGGUAAUACGGAGGAUCCAAGCGUUAUCCGGAAUCAUUGGGUUUAAAGGGUCCGUAGGCGGGUCUGUAAGUCAGUGGUGAAAGUUUUCGGCUCAACCGGAAAAUUGCCAUUGAUACUGCAGGUCUUGAAUCAUUAUGAAGUGGUUAGAAUAAGUAGUGUAGCGGUGAAAUGCAUAGAUAUUACUUAGAAUACCGAUUGCGAAGGCAGAUCACUAAUAAUGUAUUGACGCUAAGGGACGAAAGCGUGGGUAGCGAACAGGAUUAGAUACCCUGGUAGUCCACGCCGUAAACGAUGGUUACUAGCUGUUCGGACUUCGGUCUGAGUGGCUAAGCGAAAGUGAUAAGUAACCCACCUGGGGAGUACGUUCGCAAGAAUGAAACUCAAAGGAAUUGACGGGGGCCCGCACAAGCGGUGGAGCAUGUGGUUUAAUUCGAUGAUACGCGAGGAACCUUACCAGGCUUAAAUGUAGUAUGACAGGUUUAGAGAUAGACUUUUC
RNAcentral lists this ribosomal RNA (924 nucleotides) under Aquimarina sp. BL22. Its description in RNAcentral is "bacterial SSU rRNA". It matches the Rfam family "Bacterial small subunit ribosomal RNA", at positions 92 to 1016 of the family's 1533-position model. Lineage: Bacteria; Pseudomonadati; Bacteroidota; Flavobacteriia; Flavobacteriales; Flavobacteriaceae. The record is from RNAcentral.